GCUUCCUUGGUGUAGUUGGUUAUCACGUGGGUCUCAUAGCUCUUACUAUGACUGUUCAAAGCAGCAGGAAUCCCAAGGCCGCCAGUUCGAGUCUGGCAGGGAGCA
Non-coding RNA from Lentithecium fluviatile CBS 122367, 105 nucleotides. Lineage: Eukaryota; Fungi; Ascomycota; Dothideomycetes; Pleosporales; Lentitheciaceae. The record is from the annotation of a GenBank genome assembly.